This is a long non-coding RNA of Anguilla anguilla (European eel), 821 nucleotides long. RefSeq lists it as uncharacterized. The record is from RefSeq and is a predicted model, not a curated record. The transcript is spliced from 2 exons. Lineage: Eukaryota; Metazoa; Chordata; Actinopteri; Anguilliformes; Anguillidae.
ACUCCCGCCCUUUUUCACUGCAGCUGGGAACUUCACACUCUCUCCCACAAUGCCGUUCAGCUCCACAGACUGGCCAAACACACUCACUGCUGAAGCCACAGAGACAAGCCUCCAUCAGCGAGGAGCACAAGCACACUCAUCAUCCCCCCAGUGCCCCCCCCCCCCCCCCCAUCCAUACGCAGACUGGCAGAGGUGACCUGCUGGACUCUCACCUGCAUCAGUGAGUGAACCUGUCAGCACUCAGCCGAAGGGAAGAGGAAGAAAUAACCAAACCACUCUAACCUGACUCUCUACACUUCUCUGCAGAGUUAGUGGGAAACUCUCUACAUUCCUCUGCAGAGUUAGUGGGAAAUCCAGGCUCAGAAAGUAAAAGUCCUCCCCAGUAAUUUGUUCCAAUCAUCUGGAUGUGCGAAUUAGCACAGUGUGCAAAACGGUGAUGUGAAUAAUGAGAUGGAUUUAGGAAUUGUUACCCAAGAGUUCCUCUGGAUAAGUUUAGCUUCUGGUAACUGCUUAAAUAUAAAAGUUAAACACCAUUUUGUGUUAAUUUAUUUUACUGUACUGGUGUAAGGUGCAUAUUGGAUGAUGUUUUUAGGUUGGUAAAAGACCUGAAAAUGCACCAGCCUCCCUGCUCAAACUUCUCAUCCUUCAUUGUGCUGCUAAAUCACCCUUUUCCCCUUGGGACCCAGGGCUCUGGUCAUAAUACAGGGAAGAGGCUCUCUACCUCCCCCUCCUCCCCCUCUCCCUUCUUCCUCUCUCACAUGCAGCUCUUCUUUCAACAUUCAGUUUCUACAUCCUGUUUGCAGCUUUGAUUCUUCUUCACA